RNAcentral lists this ribosomal RNA (455 nucleotides) under uncultured bacterium. RNAcentral's name for it is "bacterial SSU rRNA". It matches the Rfam family "Bacterial small subunit ribosomal RNA", at positions 28 to 494 of the family's 1533-position model. The record is from RNAcentral.
GAUGAACGCUGGCGGCGUGCCUAAUACAUGCAAGUCGAACGAGGUGCUUGAGUAGCAAUACAAGAGUAUCCUAGUGGCGAACGGGUGAGUAACGCGUGGAUGACCUGCCCCAAAGUGUGGGAUAACAGUCCGAAAGGAUUGCUAAUACCUCAUGUGGUUGUUGGAUUUAGAAACUGACAACUAAAGCAGCAAUGCGCUUUGGGAGGGAUCUGCGUCCCAUCAGCUAGUUGGUGAGGUAACGGCUCACCAAGGCGACGACGGGUAGGGGACCUGAGAGGGUGGCCCCCCACAAUGGAACUGAAACACGGUCCAUACACCUACGGGUGGCAGCAGUAGGGAAUAUUGCUCAAUGGGCGAAAGCCUGAAGCAGCAACGCCGCGUGUGCGAUGAAGGCCUUCGGUCGUAAAGCACUUUCUGAGAGAUGAGAAAGGACAGUAUCUCAGGAAUAAAGUCUC